CAGCGCCUCAAGUGGUCAGGAUGAUUAUUGGGCCUAAAGCAUCCGUAGCCGGCGCUGUAAGUUUUCGGUUAAAUCUGUACGCUCAACGUACAGGCUGCCGGGAAUACUGCAGCGCUAGGGAGUGGGAGAGGUAGACGGUACUCGGUAGGAAGGGGUAAAAUCCUUUGAUCUAUUGAUGACCACCUGUGGCGAAGGCGGUCUACCAGAACACGUCCGACGGUGAGGGAUGAAAGCUGGGGGAGCAAACCGGAUUAGAGACCCGCGUAGUCC
This 270-nucleotide ribosomal RNA is filed under the name uncultured archaeon. RNAcentral describes it as "partial 16S ribosomal RNA". It matches the Rfam family "Archaeal small subunit ribosomal RNA", at positions 477 to 747 of the family's 1478-position model. The record is from RNAcentral.